RNAcentral lists this non-coding RNA (30 nucleotides) under Rattus norvegicus (Norway rat). Lineage: Eukaryota; Metazoa; Chordata; Mammalia; Rodentia; Muridae. The record is from RNAcentral.
UAAAUUGAAGCCAAGUCUUCGCCAAAUAAU